RNAcentral lists this long non-coding RNA (299 nucleotides) under Ananas comosus (pineapple). Its description in RNAcentral is "long non-coding RNA (ACOM_LNC010336)". Lineage: Eukaryota; Viridiplantae; Streptophyta; Magnoliopsida; Poales; Bromeliaceae. The record is from RNAcentral.
UUGCGGAAAUCGAAAAGUGAUUUCCGAGGCGUUUUUCGGCGAAAUCUGCCGAUAGAACGCGGUUUCGGUUCGGAAUUCUUCCGAUGGUUCUUGGGGAUCAUUUGUUUCGUCGCUAAGCCUUGUUGGCUGGCCACCUGCAUCGUUUCAUGGGUUUGGAAACGACGGGUGAGCGACGGUGAAGUUCCGGUGCGGUUUUCGGGACUUCCGGUUUAUUCAGUAAUCGAUUUUGGGAAACCGGUCGUGGUUCUGGUGAGCAGGGGUUGUGAGUUAGCUUUUCAUGACAAUGGGUUAGAUAUUAA